This 70-nucleotide transfer RNA is filed under the name Oreocharis arfaki (tit berrypecker). It matches the Rfam family "tRNA". Rfam says of the family: Transfer RNA (tRNA) molecules are approximately 80 nucleotides in length. RNAcentral also lists the same sequence under 1 other name. The record is from Rfam by way of RNAcentral. Lineage: Eukaryota; Metazoa; Chordata; Aves; Passeriformes; Paramythiidae.
AGUAGGGUAAGCUAAAACAAGCUAUCGGGCCCAUACCCCGAAAAUGAUGGUUAAACUCCUUCCCCUACUA